This 471-nucleotide ribosomal RNA is filed under the name Holotrichapion pisi. RNAcentral's name for it is "partial 16S ribosomal RNA". Lineage: Eukaryota; Metazoa; Arthropoda; Insecta; Coleoptera; Brentidae. The record is from RNAcentral.
CUUUUGAUAAUAAUCUAAGGUCUAACCUGCCCAAUGAAAAUUUUAAUGGCCGCGGUAUUUUGACCGUGCAAAGGUAGCAUAAUCAUUUGUUUUUUAAUUGAAAGCUGGAAUGAAAGGUUGAAUGAGAAAAUAACUGUCUCUAUUUAAUUUUAUUAGAAUUUUAUUUUUAAGUUAAAAAGCUUAAAUUUAUUUUGAAGACGAGAAGACCCUAUAGAGUUUGAUAAAUAAUUUAUUUGGAUAUUUUAGAAUUAAUUUUUUUAAAUUUAGAAUUUAUUUGAUUGGGGUGAUUAAAAAAUUAAAUUAACUUUUUUUGUAUUAGAUCAUUAAUUAAUGAAUAAUUGAUCCUUUAAAAGAUUAAAAAACUAAAUUACCUUAGGGAUAACAGCGUAAUUUUUUUUUAGAGUUCGAAUUGAAAAAAAAGAUUGCGACCUCGAUGUUGGAUUAAAAUUAAUUUUUGGUGUAGAAGCUAAA